GCGGGUGUCGUCUAAUGGUAAGACAGCAGCUUCCCAAGCUGCUGACGUGGGUUCGAUUCCCAUCACCCGCUCCA
RNAcentral lists this transfer RNA (74 nucleotides) under Alysiella crassa. RNAcentral describes it as "tRNA-Gly(ccc)". It matches the Rfam family "tRNA". Rfam says of the family: Transfer RNA (tRNA) molecules are approximately 80 nucleotides in length. Their secondary structure includes four short double-helical elements and three loops (D, anti-codon, and T loops). The record is from RNAcentral. Lineage: Bacteria; Pseudomonadati; Pseudomonadota; Betaproteobacteria; Neisseriales; Neisseriaceae.